This 227-nucleotide long non-coding RNA is filed under the name Elaeis guineensis (African oil palm). RNAcentral describes it as "long non-coding RNA (EGUI_LNC069982)". Lineage: Eukaryota; Viridiplantae; Streptophyta; Magnoliopsida; Arecales; Arecaceae. The record is from RNAcentral.
ACUUGCAAUAAAAAUAAAAGAUAAAAAUUUAAAAAUAUAAUAAAAUAAAUUUUAUAUUAAUUAAAAUUAAAAUUUAAGUAUAAAAAUUAAAAAAAUAAUAAAAUAAAAUAAAAUUAUAAUAAAGAUCUGAAGUUGAUCGAUGCAGCCUCGUCAGAAAGAUGGUUGACGACCUCUCUUUCUUCUUUUAUACUCCGUGGAGCAAACUAGCUUCUUUUCUUCUUCCCCUU